AACCCCUAUUGUUAGUUGCCAUCAUUCAGUUGGGCACUCUAGCGAGACUGCCGGUAAUAAACCGGAGGAAGGUGGGGAUGACGUCAAAUCAUCAUGCCCCUUAUGACCUGGGCUACACACGUGCUACAAUGGUUGGUACAACGAGUUGCGAGUCGGUGACGGCGAGCUAAUCUCUUAAAAGCCAAUCUCAGUUCGGAUUGUAGGCUGCAACUCGCCUACAUGAAGUCGGAAUCGCUAGUAAUCGCGGAUCAGCACGCCGCGGUGAAUACGUUCCCGGGCCUU
Molecule: ribosomal RNA, 282 nt
Filed under: uncultured Streptococcus sp.
Lineage: Bacteria; Bacillati; Bacillota; Bacilli; Lactobacillales; Streptococcaceae
Description: partial 16S ribosomal RNA
Rfam family: Bacterial small subunit ribosomal RNA
Source: RNAcentral